AACGAACGCUGGCGGCAUGCCUAACACAUGCAAGUCGAACGGGAUCCUAGCUUGCUAGGUGAGAGUGGCGGACGGGUGAGUAACACGUGGGAAUCUGCCUUUUGGUUCGGGAUAACCGCGGGAAACUGCGGCUAAUACCGAAUGCCCUCGAGAGAGGAAAGAUUUAUCGCCAGAAGAGGAGCCCGCGUCCGAUUAGGUAGUUGGUGGGGUGAAGGCCUACCAAGCCGACGAUCGGUAGCUGGUCUGAGAGGAUGAUCAGCCACACUGGGACUGAGAUACGGCCCAGACUCCUACGGGAGGCAGCAGUGGGGAAUAUUGGACAAUGGGGGGCAACCCGUGAUCCAGCAAUGCCGCGUGAGUGAUGAAGGCCUUAGGGUUGUAAAGACUCUUUUGUCCAGGAAGAUGAUGACUGUACCU
This 417-nucleotide ribosomal RNA is filed under the name uncultured bacterium. Its description in RNAcentral is "bacterial SSU rRNA". It matches the Rfam family "Bacterial small subunit ribosomal RNA", at positions 29 to 462 of the family's 1533-position model. The record is from RNAcentral.